This 237-nucleotide ribosomal RNA is filed under the name uncultured bacterium. RNAcentral's name for it is "partial 16S ribosomal RNA". It matches the Rfam family "Bacterial small subunit ribosomal RNA", at positions 524 to 760 of the family's 1533-position model. The record is from RNAcentral.
UACGAGGGGGGCAAGCGUUGUUCGGAUUUAUUGGGCGUAAAGGGUGCGUAGGCGGUUUGGCAAGUCUUGUGUGAAAUCUUUGGGCUCAACCCAAAGUCUGCACAAGAAACUGCCGGGCUUGAGUAUGGGAGAGGUGAGUGGAAUUUCCGGUGUAGCGGUGAAAUGCGUAGAUAUCGGAAGGAACACCUGUGGCGAAAGCGGCUCACUGGACCAUUACUGACGCUGAGGCACGAAAGC